This is a long non-coding RNA of Homo sapiens (human), 8730 nucleotides long. RefSeq lists it as uncharacterized. The record is from RefSeq and is a predicted model, not a curated record. Lineage: Eukaryota; Metazoa; Chordata; Mammalia; Primates; Hominidae. The transcript is spliced from 5 exons.
CAGGUAUCAUUUCUUAAGGAAAAUGUUCAGGAUGGAAACCUAAAAUACCUUGAGCUUCUCUGGCAUCAGGUCCCCACUUUAUGUUGGACAUAGCUCUAUCUCAUAAUGUCAAGAGCACACAGCUGUUGCUAAGACCAUGGAGGAAUAUUGACUGUUCAAGGAACCACAAGAACGCAAAGAAGGAGGAACAAAUGGGGGAUGAUGAAAUAAACAGGCAGCAGGUGCACAGACUCCUCGCAAUGCAAGGCCACUGCCAGGGAAUGCUGGAGGGGUGAUGCUAGCAAUUGAAGAUUGUCUCUCCUACCCUCUUCAAUGCCUCUUUCAGCAAUAUGAAGUUAAAACCAGAUUAGUGUUGGGUCUGAAGUUCCAAAUCCUGCUGCCUCUGUGAAGUCUUUCUGCUCAUGCUAGAAGCAAUAUCACCUCUUCUAGAAUUGUAAAGUGCCAUUUUCCAUACCACUUAUAAUAUACUGUCUUGUAGAUGUUUUUCUGUCGUCUGUAUUUCAUCCCUCUAAUAGAUGAUAAAUUUCUAGAGGAUGCCUCCCACAGAAAAAGUGCUCAAUAAAUAUCUGUCAUUGGUGAAAACAGAUUAUAGAUGAUAUUUUGUUGGAAGAUUGGAGGCAAAGUCUCAAAGGUAAACCUAUAAUUUUAGGCUCAUUCCCUCCCCCACAAUAUUUGUUGAAUACUUAACAAAUAUUGUUAUUUUUUUUGGUAUUUGACAGGGAUUUUCUCUUUCAAUAUUCUAAGCCCUAUGAGAUUAGCGCUAUUAAUAUUUAUGGUUGGGGAAACAGAGGCAUAGAAAGUUUAAGUAAUUUAUCCAAGGUCACAUUGCCAAAAAAAAUAGGUAGUUUAGACUUGAAACCAGAGAGAACUGAUUCUACAACUGGUGCCUAUAAAGUUUGCACAUCUUACUUCACCCCAUCUCAUUUGGACAUAGUUUGGAAUGGACUUAGGAGGUCUGAGUAUCAAGAAUCUGUGGCUCAUGCAAUAUCAAAUCCCUUAGACAUAUUUCAGUCAUUGCCAAAACAUGAUUUCAAUUAUCAAGUUUUCAGUGAAGUUCUGAUAGUGCUAAUCUUUACCCAUCAAGAAAGAGGAGAGGUGCCAAGCCCCCUGAAGAGCUAUUCCAGUUGGAGCCUGAUGUGAAGGUGGUGGUGCGUAUAAUUCCACCUCAUUAGUCAAGCCCGAAGUGUUGUAGAUAUGCCACAUUGCAUUGAAUCUAUGAUUCCAUGGAAGGCAAGAUGUACUAUCUUUAUUAUAUUAUUAAGAAAGAGAAAAAUAACUGCCAAAAUAAACAUGCUACAAUGAUUUUUCAUUACUUGGGCUUUUAAAAAUGUUAUACUUACUGAAAGCACUCUUUUAGUCUUGUUUAGGCAUGCAAACAAUAUGAAUUUCUUAAGGUUUUAUAUCUGAAAUCUGACUAUCCAAUGUCUAUGUUUUCCAGAUAAUAUCAUCCUCUAUGCCACUGAGAGUAUUAGUAAGGCAGUAUUUCUGAAAGAGCACUCCACCACUACCUCUGGGAUUUUCUUGCAAGCUACUGAUACCAUCUUUGCAAGAAUGGAGGCAAACAUUCAGGCUACCAGAAUUUAAUCUCUGUAAUUUCCUUGCCAACAGCCAUAAUAAAUGCUUCUUGUUUUCAGGUGAGGUGAAAUGUGAAAAAGUGUUCAUCAGAAUUGGUGAAAUAUGGCAAUUACAACUUUAUUUAAAACAAUGCACGUCACUUUUUGAAAAUAUUUGAAAACUUCUGCUAUAGUCAAAAGAACCUUGGUCUUAAGGAAUCAGAGGACCUGGGUUGAAUACUAGUUCUCUUGACUACCUAUGGCAAGUAACAUAAACUGUCUUAACUUCCUCUGAGGAAUAAGCAAUUUACCUUGUGGGGUGAUUGCAAGAAUUAAAAGAAAAUUUAAAUUCCACAAAAGCAGAAAUAAUUCUAUCCUGUUUGCCACGAUCUUUCUAUUCUCUCAAGAAGUAACAGGGACCUAGAAAGAAUAAAUGAAACAAUGAAUGAACAGUUAAUACAUAGCAAACUACAUGUAGAACUGUCUGUGUUGGAAUGUUGCCAUGGUGGAAGGCAGUAUGUUCUAGGAGAAAAUGCAGCAAAAAAUGUUUCAGUAAGGAACAUUCUUUAGUCCCUCUCUCUAUUUUUCCCCAGUCAUUUUGUGGUUUUGGCUGCUAUUGGCUUGUAUCUGCUUCCCAAAUGCUAGUAAUUUCUUCCAAUCUAAAGUUGCUUGUUUAUUUUCUUGUAUAUUGUAAAACAAAGGCAACAUAAUUGCAGGCCAGAAAGCUAUUUUCUCACUCUUGAAUUCUUAAAAAUGUCAUUUGUUCUAGGUUUUUUUCGCAUGUAUUUAUUAUUGAAAUAUUAAGAGACACAAAAAACAUGGAAAAGAAAAAAAUCAUUAUUUCAAAUUCCUAACCUAGAGAGAAUAAUUACUAAUACUUUUUCUUACUUAAUUGGCAAAAUAUAUAUUUUUUUGUAAUUUGAUUUUUCACUUCAUAUAGUUGCAUAUUUCUCCAUAUACUCCAUUUAAAUGUUCUUCACAAAUAUUGUUUAUGAUACAUGCUCUAUUAUAAUCUAUUUAAGUAAUCUAAACUUCCUGGAAAUUUAGGUCAUUUCCAAUUUUUCACUAUUUAAAAUAUCACAGGAAUGAACAUUCUUGAACAUUUGUAUUUAUGUACAUUUCUGAUUUUUUAAGAAUAAAUUCUUGAAAGUGGAUUUACAAGGCCAAAAGAUAUACAAUUUUAUUCUAAUUUAGUUGAGAAUAUUUUAAUGUAACUAAAAGAUUUAUCGAGAAUGUGGUAAAAUAAGAAGGAGGGUUUUGAAGGUGUGCCUGCCCAGAAUUGCCUGGUGGGCUCUGCUAGAUUCAUCAUCUUCCCUCUUUCUCAAGGACUUGUCUGUUGUGAUAUGGUUCCUGAGUGACGUUUGUCCUCACGAGGUGCUAGGACUGUCAGAUGUUAGGAGUGCUAAGCCUCUUACUUAUCUUUCUUUUUUCAUCCAAAAAAGCUGAACGUGGUGUCCUCACUAAAUGAUGGAUAAGUAUGAUGAACAGAUCCCAUUAUUUCCUCAUUCCAUUCACAUGAUGAAUGAGUUAGAAAAUGAAUGCAAUAUCUGAGCACCAGAGGAUCUGAUUGUCACAGUAUGAAAAGCCUUUUAGUGAUAACUGCAUACAUGCACCCAUAUUACUCCCAACAGAGCCAAUGCAAUCUAGUUCGAAUGGUAGAUGUACUGACUCCCAUGUGGGACCAUUGAUGUUUUUACAAACCAUUUGCAGCCCAGUAUCGCUGUGUUUUGCCAAGUUGCAUCCUCCCAGUGAAGUCCAAAUGGAACUAGAGAGAGAGGCUCCAUUUUUGCUGCAGUAGGAAAUAGACAAGGGAAAGUCUGGAUUACACUCCAAAAUUAUAAUGCAAACCUGCCCCAGAAAUGUGUAUUAUUUUUCUGAAUGUGUUCCAGCUGAACCACAGGAAAAAUAACAACCAAAGACCAUAAUGGCUCAUUGGUGGAUAUUGUGUCCCAUCUGUUGGUGGUAGUGAGAAAGGCUCUAGGCUGUCACAUCCAAAAAGCUUGCCGGUAAAAAAAAAGCCAAACUCCCCUCAUGGCAUUUUUCUGCCUAUGAACUCAUUUUGGAUAUCGUGUAUUAGGAAGAAAAGGUGUAAAAGUGGUUGAAUGUUGUUAUACACUUUUAUGAGGGGAAGUAAAAGUUUUACACGUUGCUUGGUUCUUUCUAGUGGAGGGGAUGAGAUGGUUUCAUAACAAGCAGCAGGCAAGGCUUUGUUGAGCCAAAGGCUUUGAUUAGGAUUUCUACAAAGUGCUAUAUUCUUUGGUUAACUCUUAAGCAUUUAGUAACUCCCUCCUUAAGGAAAAGGAUACACCUGAUUCUGUUUAUGGACCAGUGUGUUGGUCAUUGAUUCUUGCUCUUGCAGCUUCAGGAUUCUGGCUUAAAUCAGAUUUAGUUUGUGGAUACAAAGCUGAAUUCAACACCAGCCAGGCAUUAGCAUGAAAACUGAGUUGCCCCCAGGAAAUAUCCAUCUCAGACUCAAUAUGAAAACCUCAGUCACUGCAGAAGUGAGGCAUUUGUGCCUACACAAUCAUGCCUAUCCUUUGGAUUCUGGUUCUGCCCUGACCCCUCACUGGACUCAUGUCUGAAUCCUGACACAGCACAAGCACUGUGAGUGAAAUUAAAAGUACUAUUUUAGUCUUUAAAAAGAAUUAAAACAUCUGGGCCACAGCAAAGGCCCAGAGCAUGGGCAGAGCACUGGGGAAAAUCAUGGUGGGAACUCUAGAGGAACCUUGCAGUGGAGGUUUAGUGCCCAGAGGGACAGAUUUACUGAGAGCACAUGUGACUUACCCACUGUAGAUUUUUGGAGUCCUUGGUCAUGGGAGGUGGUAAGGAGCUGAGAGUGUUCAGGACAAGUAGAAUCAUGACCCAGUGAAAUUUGAGCUAUUUCUGUUAAUAUGACCUCAUUUACACACUGGGAAAUUAGAAUCCUCAAAUCAGCAUUCAGUUUGCAAGGUACUCAUGAGAAUCAUUUCGUUAAACAGUAUUAACAUUGCAGAGGCCUAAUGCUACAGAGACCUGAUAUUAACCAUACUGAGACCUAACUGUAAAUGAAAAUUAGGGGGACUAGUCAAACAGAACCAUGCUAAGGGGCAGAAAAGGUUUGAACUUGCUAUUUUUCCUCUCACAAUGUAUACACAGUGGGAAUAUGGCAUUUUUGCCCCAAGCCGAAUGGCAGUUUACCUCUGUCAUGGGGUUGGUGGGCAAGGUGGGGGAAUGUGUUCCAAAGUGUUAGGGAUUUUUAACUCACAUGAGGAUAUAAGAGGACUGGUUUUUUGGAUCUCCAUGUCAGUUAAAAAUGCGAACUAGUUCAGAGGAACACUCUGUGGUACAUGUCAUGCUCCUGAGCUUGGCGUGGGGUCAGGCUACGGCUGUCACAUGUAGAUUUACCAAGGUCCAGGCGGUGUUCUGAGUUCUUUACGUAUUAUCUUAUUUGAUCUUCUCAGUAACCCUGUGAGUCAGGGACUACUAUAACUCCAUUUUAAAGAUGAAGAAACUGAGACAAAGGGAGGCUAAGUAACUUACCCAAGAUCCUCUGGCUGGAUAAGUGGCAUACCUGGAAUGAAAACGUAAGCAUUCUGAUUCCAGAAACCAUACGCUUAAGAUGCUGUACAGAUGCUCUUAGUGGUCAUUCUCACCUUUUCGUAGAGUUCUUUCAAAGGCAUGGGAUCUACAAACGUGUGUGUGUGUGUGUGUGUGUGUGUGUGUGUGUAUUGGUGAGGUAUUGGAAGCUGUAUGGUGCAACAAAUAAAAAUAUGAGUCUGAUAUUUGAGGAAUUUUAUAUUUUUUGAAGAUAGUAAAAAAUUGAAAUAGAAUUUAAGGGUAUCAAGAAAUGGGCAUUACAAGUUCUUCAAAGUCAUUAAACCUUUCCUCUUGAAGGUAAAAGCCCUGUAUCCUACUCCGUGAUGAAGAACAGCAGCCUGAUUUAGUUUCCUACCCUUUGACAGAGUGACCCAUCACUGUGUACUCCCCACUUGGCAUGGAAAGGAUUAACUUUGAUCUGCUGAGCUGUAUUUUAUAAAUAGAAUUAAUCACAGGCUGUGGGGAGAUGAGGUCAUCAGAUUUACACCGAAGCUUUAAUGCAGUGCAGACAUUGAGGUCACAUCUGCUCAGCUCCUGUCCAAAUGGUGAAGCUUCCCUUCUGCAUGAAGUUACUUGGCCUGGACUCCUCAAACAAGGGCAUUAUUUUUCAAACAAGGGCAAUCCUUCUGCUUUCUGGUCCAUUUUAGAAUGAAUAGAGAGCCUGUUAGAGUAAAAGAUAUGUUUUCAUACCAUUAUUGAGGUCCAAUCACAGUUACAUUUUCUUGAAUUUUCAUGAAUUUUUCUACUACAACUUGCUUUUCUCAUUCGUAAGAGGAGGGGGAAUACAUUUUGCCUGUCCAUUUUUGCAUUCUCUUUGGGUUCCAGUACAUAGACUUGGUAAGGAACUAAUGAGCUACCUUAAGGCAGAGAAGCCCCAUUUCUGGGGCCUCAAGAAAAAAUUUAGUAGUUAUGCAUCUUUCAUCUGCAAAUAUAGAGAGAGUUUCUAACUUAAGCAAGGAUCCCCACAUUAUAAGCCAUCUUUUGUAUCUGAGAUUUUCUUGCCAGAACACACAUACACACUCAUACAUACCACGUGGAACUCCAAUAUUGAUAGAAGAAAUGGCUGGAGUCACUCCUGUAUCUCCUCUAUUCCCCACCUUUACUAUUUUCUACCCUAUAAGCAAGCUUAGUUCACAGCUAAUCAGUAAUGUGCAUUUAAGAUCUGGUUUCUUUCUGGAGCACAUUGGACUUAGAGUAUCAUUCAAAGCUGGAUUGAUUUCAGGCCACUCAGGUUUUCAGUACCUUCUAGGGCAGAACUCAGAGAGCUUGUUUGAUCUGUGAUCUCCUUGAGCGCUCUCUAACCCACUUAAGCUUGUCUUAAACACAAAUACAUUUGAGAGGAGACCUACCAUUUUGUGGCAGAAGAGGGCUGGAGGGUCAGGGAAAAUCCUCUUGGAACUGCUUAGGAUUGGAAUAGUCUUCUCAGAUCCACAGCACUCAAGAUCAGGCUCCUAAAGCCUGUAUAGGCAAUUGCUGGACUUAUUCAGAAGGGCCAUAAUGCCCUGCACUGCUGGAGGCAUACAUUCGGAGAAGUGAGUGCUCAUGGGACAGCCACUGUGUGUUUUAGAGGCAGAUAGAGCAUCUCUGGGUCUGUUAAUGUGAAGCUAGAGAUGGUUUACCAGUGGCCAACUACUUCACAGUACAGUCAUGCAGAAAGCACUCAAGUGUCGUGGGGUAAAGACGUCAGAAGGAAUUCACAAGUGAAAAUGCCAGUGAGUAGUCACAGUAAGGGCCUCAAAUAUACAGGAGGCUACAAACAUGCAGACCCAGUCAAAUAAAUCUGGUGAAGGGGUGGGUUAAUUUGGGUCCUUUAAGAAGCAGACUACAAGCCAGGAUUCAAUGUGACUGGGUUAUAUUAGAGUAAUCACCUGUUAGAGAAAAGGCGCAGGAAUCUAGGGGCGGCAGGGGAGCUGACAGACCGUGGCGCACCACGGGCAGGCAAAUUGGGUGGAGGCAUCACAGAUAGGUGACCUAAGGAAUGUCGAACAAGGCCUUUGGGGUAUCUCUGAAUCCAAAAUUGCCUAUUAGAGAAGUCCCAGGUCUCCCAGGAGUAGGCCUGCCUUAGUAUCCCUAUCACUUCAGUCAUCCACUGGCAACAGCUCAGGAAGUAUGAUCUCACUAUACAUACGGUGAUGGAUUUCAGAGUGCAGCAGCUGGGGCUCUAGGCCAAUUACAUUUUCUGUAGAGGUCUACAAGGAGCAUUCUCACAGCUGCUUCAAUAAAGGACUGACUUAGUGUGUUUAAAAGCAUGCCUGGAGCAUAAACACCACUAUCUGUAUGAAGGUGGAGAAGAGAGAUGCCAGUUUUCUGAGGACAGUAGAAGAGCCCUCUCCUUUAGUGAAAGAGAGCAGUCUCAUCUCCUUACAGUUUCUGCUUUGAGAGUGGAAGGGAGGAGGAGGCAGCGUUUGAAAUGGGAGAGAGGUAAACAACCAGCCAUGGGAGGUGGAGCUUUGUCUUCAUACCCAUCACAGAGCCAGCAAAGAGGAAUCAGCACCUUCAGCUCAGGGCCAGGUUGCAGCAAUGGUAGUAAACAGCCAUAAUGGAGAAGACAAUGGCUGGAAGAGGCGACUCCCGCAGUGGCAGCAGGGGUACAGCAGUUCUGCGGUGACCAACAAUGCGGAGCAGCAUCAUCCCUAGGUCAAGGCAAGGAGGGCCAAAAGUAGGGGUAACUGUGGCUGGAUUCCAUGGAUGCGAAUCAGAGAAAAGCAUGGAUCAGGAGCUCAGGGUUCCAGCCAUUUCACAGCUGCGGAGCACUCAGGGGCAGUUGGCUUUCCUAAUACCUGUCAUACUGCUCGUGCCAACGAAAGAAGUUUCCUUUUUCUCUUUAAGCACAAGUCAAGCAUGAUUAAACCAAGAAGUGACUGAAAAGGAUGUGGAAUACAGACUAUACAGUUAGAAAUAGUCUGACUUUGCAGAGCAGAAAACACUCAGUAAAUACAAACAGCAGGUAAAUAAGUUUCCCAUCUUGGUUCAAGAAGAACAUGGAGUGUGUUGAACAAGAAGAACCAACUCUUCAGAAAUAAAAUGCUCCUAGUCACUGGCUGGCAGUCCUUCAUUAUUUUUUUUUUUUUACACAGGCCCCACUGAGCCAAAUAAAGGGGAACUAGACAAAUUAGAGGGACCUGGGUCCCCAUUCCUGGAACUUGCUAGCAGGAGGGUAUCAAUCAGGCUUACUAAAUUAGCAUUUUUCUGAUAGCAAUGCACAAAGCCUUUUAAUGAUGACUUUGGAGUCUCUGAGCUUAGGCUCUUGACUGCCUGUUCCUAAGCAACAGAAGGAUUGGCAGAGAAUGUGUUUUGAUGUAUCAUUAAAUAAAGGCUGUACAAUGCUGAAAACUGUGGGCAGAAAUUGGGAUAAUUGUAUUUAUUUUUUGGUGUAUUAUGUUAAAAAAUAAACAAAAAUCCUUUAUGCCCUAGAAAAUGUGCUCUCACUUGUGUUUUGUCUCUCUCUUGUUUUUGAACACUACCUUUUUUUCCGCUCCUUUUCAUCCUGCAAUUUAAGCACAGAAUUUCUCCCUUUUUAUGGAUAGCAUUUCAAGCAUUUCUUCAGCUCUGUUUCUAUUACAGAAAAAUUGGAUCACAUAUUAUACUAUAAUGGACAAGG